Molecule: non-coding RNA, 24 nt
Filed under: Arabidopsis thaliana (thale cress)
Lineage: Eukaryota; Viridiplantae; Streptophyta; Magnoliopsida; Brassicales; Brassicaceae
Source: RNAcentral
CGAAUUGUCCAACUAGCUGUCCGA